Molecule: ribosomal RNA, 443 nt
Filed under: uncultured bacterium
Lineage: Bacteria
Description: partial 16S ribosomal RNA
Rfam family: Bacterial small subunit ribosomal RNA
Source: RNAcentral
CCUACGGGUGGCUGCAGUGGGGAAUAUUGGGCAAUGGGCGCAAGCCUGACCCAGCAACGCCGCGUGAAGGAAGAAGGCUUUCGGGUUGUAAACUUCUUUUCUCAGGGACGAAGCAUGUGACGGUACCUGAGUAAUAAGCCACGGCUAACUACGUGCCAGCAGCCGCGGUAAUACGUAGGUGGCAAGCGUUAUCCGGAUUUACUGGGUGUAAAGGGCGUGUAGGCGGGACGGCAAGUCAGAUGUGAAAUCCACGGGCUCAACCUGUGGCCUGCAUUUGAAACUGUAGUUCUUGAGUACUGGGGAGGCAGACGGAAUUCCUAGUGUAGCGGUGAAAUGCGUAGAUAUUAGGAGGAACACCAGUGGCGAAGGCGGUCUGCUGGACAGCAACUGACGCUGAGGCGCGAAAGCGUGGGGAGCAAACAGGAUUAGAUACCCGAGUAGUC